GAUGAACGCUGGCGGCGUGCCUAAUACAUGCAAGUCGAGCGAAUGGAUUAAGAGCUUGCUCUUAUGAAGUUAGCGGCGGACGGGUGAGUAACACGUGGGUAACCUGCCCAUAAGACUGGGAUAACUCCGGGAAACCGGGGCUAAUACCGGAUAACAUUUUGAACCGCAUGGUUCGAAAUUGAAAGGCGGCUUCGGCUGUCACUUAUGAAUGGACCCGCGUCGCAUUAGCUAGUUGGUGAGGUAACGGCUCACCAAGGCAACGAUGCGUAGCCGACCUGGGAGGGUGAUCGGCCACACUGGGACUGAGACACGGCCCAGACUCCGACGGGAGGCAGCAGUAGGGAAUCUUCCGCAAUGGACGAAAGUCUGACGGAGCAACGCCGCGUGAGUGAUGAAGGCUUUCGGGUCGUAAAACUCUGUUGUUAGGGAAGAACAAGUGCUAGUUGAAUAAGCUGGCACCUUGACGGUACCUAACCAGAAAGCCACGGCUAACUACGUGCCAGCAGCCGCAGUAA
This 515-nucleotide ribosomal RNA is filed under the name uncultured bacterium. RNAcentral describes it as "partial 16S ribosomal RNA". It matches the Rfam family "Bacterial small subunit ribosomal RNA", at positions 28 to 523 of the family's 1533-position model. The record is from RNAcentral.